RNAcentral lists this ribosomal RNA (465 nucleotides) under Vreelandella stevensii. Its description in RNAcentral is "partial 16S ribosomal RNA". It matches the Rfam family "Bacterial small subunit ribosomal RNA", at positions 338 to 795 of the family's 1533-position model. Lineage: Bacteria; Pseudomonadati; Pseudomonadota; Gammaproteobacteria; Oceanospirillales; Halomonadaceae. The record is from RNAcentral.
CCUACGGGGGGCUGCAGUGGGGAAUAUUGGACAAUGGGGGGAACCCUGAUCCAGCCAUGCCGCGUGUGUGAAGAAGGCCCUCGGGUUGUAAAGCACUUUCAGUGAGGAAGAACGCCUGGUGGUUAAUACCCAUCAGGAAAGACAUCACUCACAGAAGAAGCACCGGCUAACUCCGUGCCAGCAGCCGCGGUAAUACGGAGGGUGCGAGCGUUAAUCGGAAUUACUGGGCGUAAAGCGCGCGUAGGUGGCUUGAUAAGCCGGUUGUGAAAGCCCCGGGCUCAACCUGGGAACGGCAUCCGGAACUGGCAAGCUAGAGUGCAGGAGAGGAAGGUAGAAUUACCGGUGUAGCGGUGAAAUGCGUAGAGAUCGGGAGGAAUACCAGUGGCGAAGGCGGCCUUCUGGACUGACACUGACACUGAGGUGCGAAAGCGUGGGUAGCAAACAGGAUUAGAUACCCCGGUAGUC